UACGUAGGGGGCAAGCGUUGUCCGGAAUCAUUGGGCGUAAAGCGCGUGUAGGCGGCCCGGUAAGUCCGCUGUGAAAGUCGGGGGCUCAACCCUCGGAUGCCGGUGGAUACUGUCGGGCUAGAGUGCGGGAGAGGCGAGUGGAAUUCCUGGUGUAGCGGUGAAAUGCGCAGAUAUCAGGAGGAACACCGGUGGCGAAGGCGGGUCUCUGGGCCGAUACUGACGCUGAGGAGCGAAAGCGUGGGGAGCAAACAGG
Molecule: ribosomal RNA, 253 nt
Filed under: uncultured bacterium
Lineage: Bacteria
Description: partial 16S ribosomal RNA
Rfam family: Bacterial small subunit ribosomal RNA
Source: RNAcentral